UGUGUAGGUGGUGUCGUAAGUUUGGUGUGAAAUCUCCCGGCUUAACUGGGAGGGUGCGCCGAAGACUGCGAUGCUGGAGUAUGGGAGAGGAAAGCGGAAUUCCUGGUGUAGCGGUGAAAUGCGUAGAUAUCAGGAGGAACACCUGCGGUGUAGACGGCUUUCUGGACCAUUACUGACACUGAGACACGAAAGCGUGGGUAGCAAACA
This 207-nucleotide ribosomal RNA is filed under the name uncultured bacterium. RNAcentral's name for it is "partial 16S ribosomal RNA". It matches the Rfam family "Bacterial small subunit ribosomal RNA", at positions 568 to 774 of the family's 1533-position model. The record is from RNAcentral.